CCGCGCGGGCGAGUGAGCGUGUGUGUGUCGGUGUGUCUGUGCGUGUGCAAGGGGCGUGCAAGGCCCGUGUGGUUGUCGGCGUGCGAGGCGGGUGUGCGAGGCGCGCGCGCCAGACCCCCCCUUCCCCCCCCCUUCCCCUACACGUUGAUCUUAUUCGAUCGGCCGGGCCGGGCCGGGCCGAGGUGAGAAGAACGGCGCCGCGAAGCCCACGGGCGCUGUGCGGCGGCCAGCGGCGGGCGGGAUGAGUCGAUCAGAUAGGCGAGGCCGCGGCCGCUGAGCGCCCUGCGAUUCUGACCCGC
This 299-nucleotide small nucleolar RNA is filed under the name Aquila chrysaetos chrysaetos. Its description in RNAcentral is "Small Cajal body-specific RNA 2 (ENSACCG00020009079.1)". It matches the Rfam family "Small Cajal body-specific RNA 2". Lineage: Eukaryota; Metazoa; Chordata; Aves; Accipitriformes; Accipitridae. The record is from Rfam by way of RNAcentral.